This 357-nucleotide unclassified non-coding RNA is filed under the name Russula cuprea. RNAcentral describes it as "sequence contains 5.8S rRNA gene". Lineage: Eukaryota; Fungi; Basidiomycota; Agaricomycetes; Russulales; Russulaceae. The record is from RNAcentral.
GAACGCACCUUGCGCCCCUUGGCAUUCCGAGGGGCACACCCGUUUGAGUGUCGUGAAAUUCUCAAAAACCCUUUCCUUUGAUGGGAUUUUUGGACUUGGAGGUUCAAUGCUCGCCUUCAGCUUCUGAAAGCGAGCUCCUCUCAAAUAAAUUAGUGGGGUCCGCUUUGCUGGUCCUUGACGUGAUAAGAUGUUUCUACGUUUUGGAUUUGGCACUGUCCCUUUGGAUCCUGCUCCUAACUCGUCCGUCUCACGGACAACGAUGGUGCUUCGGUCACCGCCAUUUACAUCGGCGGGAGGCUGGACCCACAAAAACGAACCUUGACCUCAAAUCGGGUGAGACUACCCGCUGAACUUAAG